Long non-coding RNA from Cimex lectularius (bed bug), 865 nucleotides. RefSeq lists it as uncharacterized. The transcript is spliced from 3 exons. Lineage: Eukaryota; Metazoa; Arthropoda; Insecta; Hemiptera; Cimicidae. The record is from RefSeq and is a predicted model, not a curated record.
AAUUAUUCAAUUUGGACAGCCCCUUUGUAUCAGUUCUCAAGAAAUGGAAGCAGAUAAAUUGUUUUUCAGUCCUGAAAUUUUAUUAGAGUUCAUUGAGUUCAUACAAAAACCUACCGUGCCUAUGUUAAUAAUUUCAUGACAGGACGAUGUAAACUGAGGCACCAAAGCGAAUUGGGGCGUCAUCACCGCGAAUGGGCGAAGGCGCCAAAAAACCGGCAUCUCAUAGGCCGGGAGUCUUCAAGAGUGGGGAGGACUUUAAGAACUACAAUAAACUAAAUAAUAAUUUGUAAAUUAAAAUACGUCCGACAGACCUACACAGUAAUAAUAGACAGGCCAAAAUGAUCAGUAAUGACCAAAAUACAAUGACUUUUUUCAGUUUAGUCCUUUCUAAUCAUUUAGUCAUGGUCUACCUACCCUUGUUUUGGCCAGGUGACUUUCAGCUUAUCAUUAGUUUCAAUGGUGUUAGUGUGAUCAAUGAUAAAACAGACCCAGCAUCGAAACACGCUCCAAAACUAUCAGGAGAUCAGAAACUGUCAUCAAAGAUCAGAAAUGACCAAAGUACAAUUAAGGUAGUAAUUCUCGGAUUUUGGAGAACCUGGCAUGUUCUAACAUGUGAUCAGCUUGACGCGGUUUGAGUACAUGUGAAACUUUUACUAGCUUGCGUCUCUAUCCUAUACCUCUUCAGACAACUCUGCUGGAGUUUACAACCUUAAUACCUGUAUUUUGAGACUGUAUCUUGCUGGAAUUGUCUUAAGAAAGGACAGGGUACAUCCCCGAAAUGCAUGAAUAAAAAUAUGGAAACAAAAAGUUUGGAUUACUUCAUUAGAAAACCAAAUAUGUACAAAUAAAUAAAAUAUAUAUAUUA